This 468-nucleotide ribosomal RNA is filed under the name uncultured bacterium. RNAcentral's name for it is "partial 16S ribosomal RNA". It matches the Rfam family "Bacterial small subunit ribosomal RNA", at positions 28 to 523 of the family's 1533-position model. The record is from RNAcentral.
GAUGAACGCUGGCGGCGUGCCUAACACAUGCAAGUCGAGCGAUUUACUUCGGUAAAGAGCGGCGGACGGGUGAGUAACGCGUGGGUAACCUGCCCUGUACACACGGAUAACAUACUGAAAGGUAUGCUAAUACGGGAUAACAUAAGAGAGUCGCAUGGCUUUCUUAUCAAAGCUUUUGCGGUACAGGAGGGACCCGCGUCUGAUUAGCUAGUUGGUAAGGUAACGGCUUACCAAGGAGACGAUCAGUAGCCGACCUGAGAGGGUGAUCGGCCACAUGCGAACUGAGACACGCUGCAAACUCCUACGGGAGGCAGCAGUGGGUAAUAUUGCACAAUGGGCGAAAGCCUGAUGCAGCAACGCCGCGUGUGCGAUGAAGGCCUUCGGGUCGUAAAGCUCUGUCCUCAAGGAAGAUAAUGACGGUACUUGAGGAGGAAGCCCCGGCUAACUACGUGCCAGCAGCCGCCGCCG